RNAcentral lists this ribosomal RNA (429 nucleotides) under Chloroflexota bacterium. Its description in RNAcentral is "Chloroflexi bacterium partial 16S ribosomal RNA". It matches the Rfam family "Bacterial small subunit ribosomal RNA", at positions 355 to 776 of the family's 1533-position model. The record is from RNAcentral. Lineage: Bacteria; Bacillati; Chloroflexota.
UGGGGAAUAUUGCACAAUGGGCGCAAGCCUGAUGCAGCCAUGCCGCGUGUAUGAAGAAGGCCUUCGGGUUGUAAAGUACUUUCAGUCGGGAGGAAGGUGGUAAGGUUAAUAACCUUAUCAAUUGACGUUACCGACAGAAGAAGCACCGGCUAACUCCGUGCCAGCAGCCGCGGUAAUACGGAGGGUGCAAGCGUUAAUCGGAAUUACUGGGCGUAAAGCGCACGCAGGCGGUUGAUUGAGUCAGAUGUGAAAUCCCCGGGCUUAACCCGGAAAAUGCAUCUGAUACUGGUCAGCUAGAGUCUUGUAGAGGGGGGUAGAAUUCCAUGUGUAGCGGUGAAAUGCGUAGAGAUGUGGAGGAAUACCGGUGGCGAAGGCGGCCCCCUGGACAAAGACUGACGCUCAGGUGCGAAAGCGUGGGGAGCAAACAGG